RNAcentral lists this unclassified non-coding RNA (789 nucleotides) under Hevea brasiliensis (rubber tree). Lineage: Eukaryota; Viridiplantae; Streptophyta; Magnoliopsida; Malpighiales; Euphorbiaceae. The record is from RNAcentral.
AGAGAAUGCCCAGUGGAGUGUGAACGCGGAAACCUACGUGGCCCAUCAGAUCUUGAUCCACGUGUACGGUUUCUGUUCAAAGUUUGGUUCACGCUCACAACCUCCGGCUCCGGCGCUGCCACGUGCGCAUUUCCCUCGUUAUCAUUAUGGUCGCAGACUUCUGAUUCUAAUUCCACUGCGACAUCGUUUUGAGCUUCGAGGUCUGAUUCCGGAGGUAAAUCGGUGUGUUGCGGCGGCGAGUCAUUGGGUUCUGGUGUCAAAUUAGAUCGACAAACGGGACACGUCGUGUGAGAAGCUAGCCAAACGUCUAUACAGUCAGGGUGAAACACAUGAUCACAUUUAGGUAUUAAACGCAGCGUUUCAUCGUCUUCAAAUUCACACAAGCAAACCGCGCAUUCCAGCGCCGCUUUCCCUAUCUUGAGACCCUUCACUUCGGAGUAUACCAAAGUCGGAAAUGUCUGGAUCACAGCAGGAUCAAGCCCACGCGACGCGGCAGCGCGUCGGGAGCGACCACCGUUGGCUAGAGCCCGCACGCUUCCUCCGCUGCUGUUGCCGGAGCAGUGGCGUAUGUAAAUAGAAAAAAACCCCAUUAAGAAGAGCGCAGCAAUUAAGACGACGAUGAUUAUAGCCAUGGAAGGAGUAACACGUGCAUAACCAUACUGGUCCCGCGUGUCAUCAGGUGUUUGAGCGACGGCAAACGGAAUUGCAAGGAGGAAGAUAAUGGAGAGGGAAAAAAUCCCAUGUUUAUGAGUGGAAAAAGUCAUAUCUGGAGUUGCUGAAUCCCAGCUA